UGGGGAAUAUUGCACAAUGGGCGCAAGCCUGAUGCAGCCAUGCCGCGUGUAUGAAGAAGGCCUUCGGGUUGUAAAGUACUUUCAGCGGGGAGGAAGGCGAUGCGGUUAAUAACCGCGUCGAUUGACGUUACCCGCAGAAGAAGCACCGGCUAACUCCGUGCCAGCUGCCGCGGUAAUACGGAAGGGUGUAAGCGUUAAUCGGAAUUACUGGGCGUAAAGCGCACGCAGGCGGUCUGUCAAGUCGGAUGUGAAAUCCCCGGGCUCAACCUGGGAACUGCAUCCGAAACUGGCAGGCUUGAGUCUCGUAGAGGGGGGUAGAAUUCCAGGUGUAGCGGUGAAAUGCGUAGAGAUCUGGAGGAAUACCGGUGGCGAAGGCGGCCUCCUGGACGAAGACUGACGCUCAGGUGCGAAAGCGUGGGGAGCAAACA
RNAcentral lists this ribosomal RNA (428 nucleotides) under uncultured bacterium. RNAcentral describes it as "partial 16S ribosomal RNA". It matches the Rfam family "Bacterial small subunit ribosomal RNA", at positions 355 to 774 of the family's 1533-position model. The record is from RNAcentral.